UGGUGACGUCACCCGCCCUGCCGGGCUUGGCGCCGGCCGAGCCAAAGGGGAAGACGUCAUCGGCCUCUGAGUGGGGUCCGCUGGCUGCGCUCUGGCUCGGGUCCCAUCCCCCGCCGGGCCGUCCGGCCUGCGCCUGGCGCGUCCCCGGGGAGCUGGCCCGAGCUACUCUCCGGGACCGGCAGGGAGGAGAGAGGAAGGGCGCGCGAGCAGCUGAAGGCUGACCUCGGUGUUGAGAGCGGCUGGGAGAUCAGGCCGCAUGCCACCGGCCUCCGCCUCCCUUCCCCCCGCCCUGUGCCCCUUCCCCGCGCCCCCUCCGCCGCAGAGCAGAACGGAAAGGGGUUUCCUGCGUUUUUGCAGAGAUGUGGGCCCCUUUCUCUCAUUUCCUCAUCCCCAACAGGCGAGGAAACAGGUUCUCAAGGAGAGGCUAUUUACUUGCCCAGCAUCACGCUGCUGGGGGUCGAGGGACAGAGAGGAGCCUGAAAUGAAGGUUGGAGGAAAAUUAACGAGUUUGUCCAGCCAAGAACAACCGGGCAGGGCAGUUCUUUUAUUAUCAAGCUUCUAUGUGUUUCAAGAUCUAGCACCAGAACCUGGGGAGGUCACAAGAUGCCAGUAGGUGUGGUUGGUACAGAGGUCCAGCUCAGGGAAAUAUAUUUUUUUAAGGGCUGAUAUGAGAUCAUGGAUGAAAAGCACUUUAGAACAAUGCCUGGCACAGGCAUCAUCAUCCCGCCAUGACUGGCAUUGAUUGAACACCUGUCAUACGCCAGAAACUAAACGCAGGGGUGGAUGCCACGGCAGCUAUCAGUCCUUGAACGCUGUGAUGCACCAGCUACACACACGCCACCAAAUCUCUCAUUUACAUCUCACAGCAACCUGACCAGGCUCACCAGAAGGAUGAGCGAGUAAGUUCCACGGGAUGCUCUGGCCUCAUUCUGCUGGGAUCUGAACCCAAGGGCCAGGCUCGUCGUCACAAGGUGAGGCCCAAGUCUCCACCGGCCUGUGAAGUGGGAAUUAUUAUCUCCAUUACAUUGAUUUGAAAGAAAACCCAACAACCUGGGGCCCAGAAAAGGGCAGUGAGUCAGCCUGCAUCACUCUGUUUGAGACGCUGGCCUCUGAGGAUAUCCUGCUUCUCCCUGCUUUUAUCCCGAUGGUCUGAGCCGAGGCUCUAAAGAAACGCACUGGGACUUUGGGACCCGCAGUCCCCACUCAGAGUUCCGGUCCAGUUACUCUGGGCCCACAGCUGAGCUCCAGAUAACUGAGGGUCCAGCCUUUGGCAGGACGCCUGACCUCCAGAUGACUGGGGUCCCAGCAUGGAACAAAGACGGGAGUCAAAGAAGAGGCUGGCACCCCACCCAUGGCGGGGCUCCUCAGUGAAACUCGGGGAGGGCAUUUCUCGCCAAGGAGCAGGGCACAGGCUCCUCGUUCCACUUUCAUCCUCUCUUCUUUAUGGCCCAGCACCACUUUGUCAGCUCAAUAUGAUGCUCUUCGUUUUGUAGGAAAGUGACCUCAUAUGGUUUAUCUAAGCAAGGAAGCACUGACUGGUGUCCCAGGCAAAUUGUAUCAACCAGGAUACUUUUUAAAAAUUCUAGCGGGGAAUUGCCAUUGUGGCUCAGUGGUAAUGAACCAGACUAGUAGUAUCCAUGGGUCUGCAGUUU
Molecule: long non-coding RNA, 1652 nt
Organism: Sus scrofa (pig)
Lineage: Eukaryota; Metazoa; Chordata; Mammalia; Artiodactyla; Suidae
Source: RefSeq, a predicted model, not a curated record